UGGGGAAUCUUGGACAAUGGGGGCAACCCUGAUCCAGCCAUGCCGCGUGAGUGAUGAAGGCCUUAGGGUCGUAAAGCUCUUUCGCCUGUGAAGAUAAUGACGGUAGCAGGUAAAGAAACCCCGGCUAACUCCGUGCCAGCAGCCGCGGUAAUACGGAGGGGGUUAGCGUUGUUCGGAAUUACUGGGCGUAAAGCGCACGUAGGCGGACCAGAAAGUUGGGGGUGAAAUCCCGGGGGCUCAACCCCGGAACUGCCUCCAAAACUAUUGGUCUAGAGUUCGAGAGAGGUGAGUGGAAUUCCAAGUGUAGAGGUGAAAUUCGUAGAUAUUUGGAGGAACACCAGUGGCGAAGGCGGCUCACUGGCUCGAUACUGACGCUGAGGUGCGAAAGUGUGGGGAGCAAAACAGGAUUAGAUACCCUGGUAGUCCACACCGUAAAACGAUGAAUGCCCAGUCGUCGGGGUAGCAUGCUAUUCGGUGACACACCUAACGGAUUAAGCAUUCC
RNAcentral lists this ribosomal RNA (502 nucleotides) under uncultured bacterium. Its description in RNAcentral is "bacterial SSU rRNA". It matches the Rfam family "Bacterial small subunit ribosomal RNA", at positions 355 to 870 of the family's 1533-position model. The record is from RNAcentral.